GCCCCCAUCGUCUAGCGGCCAAGGACGCCGGCUCCUCAAGCCGGAAACGGAGAUUCGAAUCCUCCUGGGGGCACCA
Molecule: transfer RNA, 76 nt
Filed under: Eggerthella lenta
Lineage: Bacteria; Bacillati; Actinomycetota; Coriobacteriia; Eggerthellales; Eggerthellaceae
Description: tRNA-Glu
Rfam family: tRNA
About the family: Transfer RNA (tRNA) molecules are approximately 80 nucleotides in length. Their secondary structure includes four short double-helical elements and three loops (D, anti-codon, and T loops). Further hydrogen bonds mediate the characteristic L-shaped molecular structure. tRNAs have two regions of fundamental functional importance: the anti-codon, which is responsible for specific mRNA codon recognition, and the 3' end, to which the tRNAs corresponding amino acid is attached (by aminoacyl-tRNA synthetases). tRNAs cope with the degeneracy of the genetic code in two manners: having more than one tRNA (with a specific anti-codon) for a particular amino acid; and 'wobble' base-pairing, i.e. permitting non-standard base-pairing at the 3rd anti-codon position.
Source: RNAcentral